AUGGCUUACCUUAUUGUGAACCAUUCAGACAUCGAAGGAAUAAAUAUUUUUGAUAUUGAACUGAAAAUAAGUCAGUUUGCAGAUGACACAGUAAUAUUUUUAAAGGAUAAAUCAAUACUUGAGAAAGCAUUGAAUAUCAUUUCAAUUUUUUCUAAAGCUUCAGGCUUGUGUCUGAAUCUAAAGAAGUGUGAACUUUUGCCACUUUAUGAUUGUUUGGAAAAUAGCAUGAGGACGAUUCCAGUGAAAAAUGAAGUCAAGUAUCUAGGCAUCUAUUUAAACAAAGACAUCGACACUAGAGAAUCAAAAAACCUAAAAGACAAAAUUGAUGGCAUGUCCAAAACACUAAAUCAUUGGUUAACGAGAGAUAUUACAAUUUUUGGACGCAAUCUAUUAUCCAAAUCAGAGGGCGUCUCAAAGAUGGUUUAUCCAGCUUACUCAUUAUACAUUACCCCGAAAAGUAUUAAAAAGAUUAACUCUAUAAUCUAUCAAUUCAUUUGGCGCAAUAAAACGCAUUACAUUAAAAAAUCACAACUUGUCAAAGAUUACGCUAAAGGUGGUAUAAAGACAAUUGAUUUUCAAUCAAUGGUUGGAGUAUUUAAAAUAAACUGGAUAAAAGCCUUCCUCUUGAAACCUGACUCCAUAUGGUUCCAUAUCCCUAAAAAUAUUUUCAAAAAGGUGGGAGGGUUGGAUUUUCUCCUGAAAUGUGAUUUUGAUAUAUUGAAGUUGCCUGUGAAACUGUUAGAAUAUCAUAAGCAGGUCUUGUCUUAUUGGAAGAUGGUUUUUGCCCAUAACUUUACGCCACAUUGCUCCACCUUGUGGAAUAACAGAACAAUUACAAUUAAUAAGAAGUCAUUGUUUAUUAAAGAGUGGUAUGAAAAAAACAUAAUCUUUAUAACAGACGUACUUGAUGAAAGGGGUCAGUUUCUCUCAGUGGGUGUUUUUAAUGCUAAGUUUAACAUUCAGUGUUCCCUUAGAGAAUAUGACAAGGUUUGUAAGGCAAUCCCCUUACCUCUGUUGAGUUUGAUUCAAGGCUAUUUAUAUUACUCUAAGGCACAAAUUAGUUUACCUUCUUUACAUCUAAAUCAGAUUCCUUUGACUGAUAAAAAUUGUAAUAAUAAAACCAUAAACAAAAUAUUUAAAAACAAAUUAUUUCACGACUUUAACAGUAACACAAAAUUAAAAGGGAGUAAUGUUAAAAUAAUGAACAAAUAUACACACUUUUUAGAAUGGCCUAUCCCCCCCAAAGUCAAAGAAAUGCAAUUUAAAAUAAUUAAUGGAUAUUACCCAGCAGCUGAAAUGCUUAAAAAAAGAUUUGGGUUUGAGGUGGAGCCAUGUGGAUUUUGUUCACAAAAUGUGGAAAGUAUUGAUCAUUUGUUUUUUUCCUGCUCAGUAACAACUGACUUUUGGCAGGAUUUGGUAGACUGGUUGAGUAUAAGAAUAGAUGGGAUGACCCCACUGACUCUAACACAAGUUUUAUAUAAUAAUGGUGAUUCAUCUAAGGAACUAUCCAUGCUCCACAAGGUGGUGAUAAUUAUGGGCAAAUACCACAUACACAGAUGUAAAUGGCAAAGUAAAAGACCUUCCCUAACUGCAUUGAAGAUUGAAUUAAAAUCUUUUUUGUCAUCUUUAGAAUUACUGAGGGAUUCAUGCAAAGAGGCUGCUUUGAUAUGUGACAAUGGGACUAAAUUUCUAUCCUUUUAA
This 1701-nucleotide long non-coding RNA is filed under the name Oreochromis niloticus (Nile tilapia). Its description in RNAcentral is "lncRNA (ENSONIG00000036449.1)". Lineage: Eukaryota; Metazoa; Chordata; Actinopteri; Cichliformes; Cichlidae. The record is from RNAcentral.